AACGAACGCUGGCGGCGUGGAUAAGACAUGCAAGUCGAACGGGACUAAAUCUGUAGCAAUACAGGUUUAGUUUAGUGGCGAACGGGUGCGUAACACGUGGGCAAUCUGCCGAGAAGUGGGGGAUAGCUCGCCGAAAGGCGAAUUAAUACCGCAUAUGAUCAGUGAAGACAUCUUCACGACAUCAAAGCCGGGGCAACCUGGCGCUUCUUGAUGAGCCCGCGGCCUAUCAGCUAGUUGGUGAGGUAACGGCUCACCAAGGCUAUGACGGGUAGCUGGUCUGAGAGGACGACCAGUCACACUGGGAACUGAGACACGGUCCAGACACCUACGGGUGCAGCAGUC
RNAcentral lists this ribosomal RNA (342 nucleotides) under uncultured bacterium. RNAcentral's name for it is "bacterial SSU rRNA". It matches the Rfam family "Bacterial small subunit ribosomal RNA", at positions 29 to 356 of the family's 1533-position model. The record is from RNAcentral.